AGAGUUUGAUCAUGGCUCAGAACAAACGCUGGCGGCGUGCCUAAUACAUGCAAGUCGGACGAGGAAAGUCUUCGGAUGAGUACUAGUGGCGCACGGGUGAGGAAUAUAUGGGUAAUCUGCCCUCGAGUUUGGGAUAACCAGUCGAAAGAUUGGCUAAUACCGGAUAAGACCACAGGAUCUGCGGAUCUAGGGGUUAAAGGUUUUUCGCUUGAGGAUGAGCCCAUAUGGGAUUAGCUAGUUGGUAGGGUAACGGCCUACCAAGGCUACGAUCCCUAACUGGUCUUAGAGGAUGAUCAGUCACACUGGAACUGAGACACGGUCCAGACUCCUACGGGAGGCAGCAGUAGGGAAUAUUGCACAAUGGGGGAAACCCUGAUGCAGCGACGCCGCGUGAGUGAUGAAGGCCUUCGGGUCGUAAAGCUCUGUCGUAUGGGACUAACAAAAUGAAGGUACCAUGCAAGAAAGGAUCGGCUAACUUCGUGCCAGCAGCCGCGGUAAGACGAGGGAUCCUAGCGUUGUUCGGAAUUAUUGGGCGUAAAGCGGGUGUAGGUGGACUUAUAAGUCAGGUGUGAAAUCCCAGGGCUCAACCCUGGAAGUGCACUUGAUACUGCAAGUCUUGAGUGUGGUAGAGGCUAUUAGAAUUCUUGGUGUAGUGGUGAAAUACGUAGAUAUCAAGAGGAAUACCGGAGGCGAAGGCGGAUAGCUGGGCCAACACUGACACUGAGACCCGAAAGCGUGGGGAUCAAACAGGAUUAGAUACCCUAGUAGUCC
RNAcentral lists this ribosomal RNA (771 nucleotides) under uncultured bacterium. RNAcentral's name for it is "bacterial SSU rRNA". It matches the Rfam family "Bacterial small subunit ribosomal RNA", at positions 8 to 796 of the family's 1533-position model. The record is from RNAcentral.